AGGCCUAUAGCUCAAUAGGUAAGAGCAGAGGACUCAUAAUCCUUGUGUUGUAGGUUCAAGUCCUACUAGGCCUA
This is a transfer RNA of Gossypium arboreum, 74 nucleotides long. It matches the Rfam family "tRNA". From Rfam's summary of the family: Transfer RNA (tRNA) molecules are approximately 80 nucleotides in length. Their secondary structure includes four short double-helical elements and three loops (D, anti-codon, and T loops). Further hydrogen bonds mediate the characteristic L-shaped molecular structure. tRNAs have two regions of fundamental functional importance: the anti-codon, which is responsible for specific mRNA codon recognition, and the 3' end, to which the tRNAs corresponding amino acid is attached (by aminoacyl-tRNA synthetases). tRNAs cope with the degeneracy of the genetic code in two manners: having more than one tRNA (with a specific anti-codon) for a particular amino acid; and 'wobble' base-pairing, i.e. permitting non-standard base-pairing at the 3rd anti-codon position. The record is from Rfam. Lineage: Eukaryota; Viridiplantae; Streptophyta; Magnoliopsida; Malvales; Malvaceae.